This 549-nucleotide ribosomal RNA is filed under the name uncultured bacterium. RNAcentral describes it as "bacterial SSU rRNA". It matches the Rfam family "Bacterial small subunit ribosomal RNA", at positions 355 to 896 of the family's 1533-position model. The record is from RNAcentral.
UAGGGAAUCUUCGGCAAUGGGGGGAACCCUGACCGAGCAACGCCGCGUGAGUGAAGAAGGUUUUCGGAUCGUAAAGCUCUGUUGUUAAGGAAGAACGAGUGUGAGAAUGGAAAGUUCAUACUGUGACGGUACUUAACCAGAAAGGGACGGCUAACUACGUGCCAGCAGCCGCGGUAAUACGUAGGUCCCGAGCGUUGUCCGGAUUUAUUGGGCGUAAAGCGAGCGCAGGCGGUUAGAAAAGUCUGAAGUGAAAGGCAGUGGCUCAACCAUUGUAGGCUUUGGAAACUGUUUAACUUGAGUGCAGAAGGGGAGAGUGGAAUUCCAUGUGUAGCGGUGAAAUGCGUAGAUAUAUGGAGGAACACCGGUGGCGAAAGCGGCUCUCUGGUCUAUAACUGACGCUGAGGCUCGAAAGCGUGGGGAGCGAACAGGAUUAGAUACCCUGGUAGUCCACGCCGUAAACGAUGAGUGCUAGGUGUUAGGUCCUUUCCGGGACUUAGUGCCGCAGCUAACGCAUUAAGCACUCCGCCUGGGGAGUACGACCGCAAGUUG